CUACGGGUCGCACCAGUGAGGAAUAUUGCACAAUGGGGGGAACCCUGAUGCAGCAACGCCGCGUGGAGGAUGACGCAUUUCGGUGUGUAAACUCCUUUUAUAUGUCAAGAAAAUGACGGUAGCAUAUGAAUAAGCACCGGCUAACUCCGUGCCAGCAGCCGCGGUAAUACGGAGGGUGCAAGCGUUACUCGGAAUCACUGGGCGUAAAGGACGCGUAGGCGGGUUGGAAAGUCAGGUGUGAAAUCCUACAGCUUAACUGUAGAACUGCACUUGAAACUUCUAAUCUAGAGUAUGGGAGGGGGAGAUGGAAUUAGUGGUGUAGGGGUAAAAUCCGUAGAUAUCACUAGGAAUACCUAAAGCGAAGGCGAUCUCCUGGAACAUUACUGACGCUAAGGCGUGAAAGCGUGGGGAGCAAACAGGAUUAGAUACCCUCGUAGUC
Molecule: ribosomal RNA, 439 nt
Filed under: uncultured bacterium
Lineage: Bacteria
Description: partial 16S ribosomal RNA
Rfam family: Bacterial small subunit ribosomal RNA
Source: RNAcentral